This 253-nucleotide ribosomal RNA is filed under the name uncultured bacterium. RNAcentral's name for it is "partial 16S ribosomal RNA". It matches the Rfam family "Bacterial small subunit ribosomal RNA", at positions 524 to 776 of the family's 1533-position model. The record is from RNAcentral.
UACGAAGGGGGCUAGCGUUGUUCGGAAUUAUUGGGCGUAAAGAGCUCGUAGGCGGUCUGUCGCGUCGGCUGUGAAAACUCGGGGCUCAACCCCGAGCCUGCAGCCGAUACGGGCAGACUAGAGUUCGGUAGGGGAGACUGGAAUUCCUGGUGUAGCGGUGAAAUGCGCAGAUAUCAGGAGGAACACCGGUGGCGAAGGCGGGUCUCUGGGCCGAUACUGACGCUGAGGAGCGAAAGCGUGGGGAGCGAACAGG